CCUACGGGUGGCAGCAGUGGGGAAUAUUGGGCAAUGGGCGCAAGCCUGACCCAGCAACGCCGCGUGAAGGAAGAAGGCUUUCGGGUUGUAAACUUCUUUUCUCAGGGACGCAGCAAGUGACGGUACCUGCGGAAUAAGACUCGGCUAACUACGUGCAAGCAGCCGCGGUGAUACGUAGGUGGCAAGCGUUAUCCGGAUUUACUGGGUGUAAAGGGCGUGUAGGCGGGAAAGCAAGUCAGAUGUGAAAACCAUGGGCUCAACCUGUGGCCUGCAUUUGAAACUGGUUUUCUUGAGUACUGGAGAGGCAUACGGAAUUCGUGGUGUAGCGGUGAAAUGCGUAGAUAUUAGGAAGAACACCAGUGGCGAAGGCGGUCUGCUGGAGAGCAACUGACGCUGAUGCGCGAAAGCGUGGGGAGCAAACAGGAUGAGAUACCCUAGUAGUC
This 443-nucleotide ribosomal RNA is filed under the name uncultured bacterium. Its description in RNAcentral is "partial 16S ribosomal RNA". It matches the Rfam family "Bacterial small subunit ribosomal RNA", at positions 338 to 795 of the family's 1533-position model. The record is from RNAcentral.